This 464-nucleotide ribosomal RNA is filed under the name uncultured bacterium. RNAcentral describes it as "partial 16S ribosomal RNA". It matches the Rfam family "Bacterial small subunit ribosomal RNA", at positions 28 to 507 of the family's 1533-position model. The record is from RNAcentral.
GACGAACGCUGGCGGCGUGCUUAACACAUGCAAGUCGAACGGUAAGGCCCUUUCGGGGGUACACGAGUGGCGAACGGGUGAGUAACACGUGGGUGAUCUGCCCUGCACUUUGGGAUAAGCCUGGGAAACUGGGUCUAAUACCGGAUAGGACUACGCGAUGCAUGUCGUGUGGUGGAAAGCUUUUGCGGUGUGGGAUGGGCCCGCGGCCUAUCAGCUUGUUGGUGGGGUGAUGGCCUACCAAGGCGACGACGGGUAGCCGGCCUGAGAGGGUGUCCGACCACACUGGGACUGAGAUACGGCCCAGACUCCUACGGGAGGCAGCAGUGGGGAAUAUUGCACAAUGGGCGCAAGCCUGAUGCAGCGACGCCGCGUGGGGGAUGACGGCCUUCGGGUUGUAAACCCCUUUCAGCACAGACGAAGCGUAAGUGACGGUAUGUGCAGAAGAAGCACCGGCCAACUACGUG